GCCACUCGAGAGCCAUGCUCAGCUUUGUUUACAGCUUUUAAACUAGCUCUUUCAGAAGGCACAAAUGAUUUCUCAGCAAUAAAAUCCCCAGUGGACACAUCUGUUGGCUUGGAUAAUCAGCACAGAUGUUAUUUUUUGAGUAUGAGGCUUUGAUGGAUCCGGAUCUGGAAAGGAGAGUCACCUGUAAUCAACACAUUAAAUGAAAGACUUGACAAGCUUGCCACUGAAAAACAAUCACGUCC
This is a long non-coding RNA of Dermochelys coriacea (leatherback sea turtle), 242 nucleotides long. RefSeq lists it as uncharacterized. The record is from RefSeq and is a predicted model, not a curated record. The transcript is spliced from 3 exons. NCBI's taxonomy places the organism in Eukaryota, Metazoa, Chordata, Testudines, Dermochelyidae.